CUGCUCUCCUCUCACAGGUAAAGCUCCACCUGGGCUCAAGACAGGGACACAUCUCAGGAGCACAGAGGACCUGGGCAGCCUGACCCCAGCCUCUCCAGAUAUCAGAAGAGCCUCACCCACAUGCAAAUCCCUCCUCCUGCUCUGGGUUCAAAGGCCCUCUGGGCUGUGGGAGCUCCCAGCUCUCUGCUCAGACAGGGCUGAGGUCUCUGGGAAGGCAGGUGUGGUCUAGAAGAUGAGGCUGCUGGGUCUUGUCCUGUGCCUGGUCACAGCUCUCCAAGGUGAGUGUCCCCAGUGUCAGACCUGGGUCCAUGGGGAGGUUGUGACUACAGGUGACUAACAGGGUGUGGCUGUCCUUGUCCCCAGGGGUCCUGUGCCAGGUGCAGCUGAAGGAGUCAGGACCUGGCCUGGUGAAGCCCUCACAGACCCUGUCCCUCACCUGUGCUGUCUCUGGUUACUCCAUCACCAGUGGUUAUGGCUGGAAUUGGAUUCGUCAGCCCCCAGGGAAGGGGCUGGAGUGGAUAGGGUACAUAUGUAGUAGUGGUAGCACUUACUACAGCCCAUCCCUCAAGAGCCGAGUGUCCAUCUCCAGAGACACGUCCAAGAACCAGUUCUCCCUGCAGCUGAGCUCCCUGACCACUGAGGACACAGCCACCUAUUACUGUGC
This 664-nucleotide long non-coding RNA is filed under the name Marmota monax (woodchuck). Lineage: Eukaryota; Metazoa; Chordata; Mammalia; Rodentia; Sciuridae. The record is from RNAcentral.